Molecule: long non-coding RNA, 3700 nt
Organism: Acinonyx jubatus (cheetah)
Lineage: Eukaryota; Metazoa; Chordata; Mammalia; Carnivora; Felidae
Exons: 2
Source: RefSeq, a predicted model, not a curated record
GGAGAAUUCUCAUUUACCUCUGCAACUGGUAUUACUUAGUUCUUUAUCCUAACACGUGGGGUGGGGGGGGUAAAGGGAGAGGCAUUUCAAGUACAGAUACUAUAUUGUUUUAUCUUUUAAUGUUUCUGUUUCCCUUUGCAUUAGUGGUGGUAUUAGUGUGGAUAUGCUACAAUUUAGGGUAAGUUGUGUUAUAUCCAGAGCCAGAGAUAGGAAGAUGUGGUCUUAUUAAAAAAAAUUUUUUUUCCUGUGGAGAAAUAUCUGAAUUUACUUAGAAAUAUCAAAAAUAGUCUGAUGCUAUAGUACUUGUGGUUAUUUUGGCCUUCCUUAUUUUAGAUGAAGCUAACGUGAACUGUAAUCAGUCACCAUCUUCAAGGAAAUAAUGUUUGGAGGAUAAAUUUUGUGUGCAUCAUCUAAAAGCAAAUCUCUUUAAUCACAAAGCCAAAAGGAAAGGAUGUGUUCUUUUUUUCCAUGUUUCCUGUUGGAUCUUAAAGCCGAGUUGGAGGAAUCGUGAAUUGGCAAAUUCCAAGAAAUGAAGUAAUUUUGAUCAUAAAGCAAAAUCUUUUCCUUUGAGAGUCCUUUCUCAGGGUAGUAUAAUGAUGUGGAGGCACUGGUUUUAUUUACAAAGAGAGCCUUAAGUAGGUUGACCUUCUAGUGAUUGUCUCCAAAAAAAAAAAAAAAAGGAAUGUGGUGGGAAAAUCUUUUGACAUUCUGAAGAUCUGUUUUUAAUUUUUUUUUUUCUUUUAACAGUUUUUAUGUUUUGAGAGAGAGAGAGAGCAAGAGAGCGGGAACAUGAGCGGGGGAGGGGCAGAGAGUGAGAGAGAGAGAGAGAGAGAGAGAGAGACACACACACACACACACACACACACACAGAAUCCUGAGCAGGCUCCAGGCUCUGAGCUCUCAGCACAGAGCCCAAUGCGGGGCUCGAACCCAUGACGCAAGAUCAUGACCUAAGCCAAAUUUGGGCAAUCAGCCUACCGAGUCUCUCAGGCGCCACUGAAGAUCUGUUUUUCUAAAAGGAGUAAAAAGUUCUUCCUUACAGUUAAUCUCCCAUUCACUUCUGUCUUGCUAAUUGCCAGAUUCUUUUUUUAAAAAAUAACUUAAAAUUUUUAAUUGUGGUUUAAAAAAAGAUACAAUUUGCCGUCUUAACAAUUUUCUAAAUGUACAGUUCAGUUAGAGUCAGAGUAUUCAUGUUGUACAACAUCUCCAGAACUUUUUCUUGCAAAACUGAAACUACCUAUUAAACAACUCCCCAUUUCCCCAUCCCCCCCGGCAACCACCACUCUACUUUCUGUUUCUAUCAAUUUGUCUACUUUAGAUAUCUUACAUAAGUGGGGUCAUACAGUAGGUCUUUUUGUGACUGGCUUUAUCUAACUUAACAUACUGUCCUCAGGUUCAUCCAUGUUGUAGCAUAUGUUAGAAUUUCCUUCCUUUUUAAGGCUGAAUAAUACUUCAUUGUAUGUAUAUACCGCAUUUUCUUUGUCCAUUCAUUUGUUGAUGGGCAUUUUUGGGUCGCUUCCAUCCCUGGCUAUUGUGAAUUAUGCUGCUGUAAACAUGAAACAUCUCUUUGAGAUCCUGCUUUCAGUUCUUUUGGAUGUAUACCCAGAAGUGAGAUUUCUGGAUCAUGGGGUAAUUCUAUGUUCAAUUUUUUGAAGAAUUGCUGUACUGUUUUCCAUAGAGGGGGCACCAUUUUACAUUCCUACAACAGUGCAGAAGGGGUUCAGUUUCUCUACAUCUUCAGCAACACUUGUUUUAUGGUUUUAUUAUUAUUAUAUAGUAAUUGUCAGUGUUUAACACUAACCAUAACCAUCAAAGUUUUUAGUGUCCCGGGGUGUACAAGUAUGAGAUUUGUGUGCUGUCUAAAAAGCUAGAGUGUUUUUUUUUUUUUAAUGUUUAUUUUUGAGAGAGAGCAUGAGCAGGGGGAGGGGCAGAGAGAGAGGGAGACACAGAAUUUGAAGCAGGCUCCAGGCUCUGAGCUCUGUCAGCACAGCCUGACGUGAGGCUUGAACUCAUGAACUGUGAGAUCAUGACCUGAGCUGAAGUUGGACGUUUAACCAACUGAGUCACCCAGGUGCCUCAGAAUCUUUGAGAUUUUGAAAGAUGACACAGUACGUAACCCAAAGAUAAUCACAGUGAGGUAAGGUAGCACUUUAAUAAUUAAGCACAUUAUGUCUGUAGUAAAGCAAAUAGUUACACUGAGUGGGAUAAAUUAAGACCAUAAGUAAACACUUCAGAUUCUGCUUUGCCACCCAUUGAGUUUGCACAUACAACCUCUCUCUUUUCAACUCGAAUUAGACUUUGAGAGCUUUUAGAUUUUGGAAUUGUGGAUUAGGGUUUGUGGAUUCACAUGUACAAAGCAUUUGUAAACACCAUGUAAAUGUUAGGUGCAAAACUGAUGUCUUCCUAUACUUUAUGACUUUUGGUUUGCCAUUAUUUAUAAGAAUGUUAAAUAGACGUUAAAUCUUUGUAGUUUAAAGUGGACAAGGUAGGAAGCCACGUGUAACCAUAUGUAUUUUUCACAUAUUACUAUCGCAUUUGGGUUUCAAGUCUACUCUUAUCUUCCAGUUGUAGAAGCACAAGAAAGAGGAUGAGGUGGAACAUAAAAGUUCUCUGUUCCUCUUAACUCCACUUUGCCUUUCCUACUUCCUCAUAGAAGAUCUUUAAGUACAUCUUCAAAGAUUUUAAAUAACUUCUGAAAUGUUUUGUUGUUGUUGUUGUCACUUGUGGCUUUUGCCUUGACUUGCCUCUCUUAGUUUCACAUUAAAUUACGCACACAGAGAAAGCCACCCUGUGGAUCUUAAUCUUUUGAUCUGCUUUGCUGCUGAUGGAUCAUUUCUGGGACAUCUAGUGGUGUAGAAAACCUUAAGUUUAAAGGAACUUAAGCACUGCUAAGAUUUUAGUUUUCUUGUCCAAAGGGAGGAGCCUCCUGAGUUUAUGUCUGUGGGGUUAGAUAUUUUGUGUGAACUCAUGGCUGUGUUAUGAUUGGCCUGAAAAUCUGGUACAUCUUAUCCUAUUAAAACCUUUUGAGAAUCUGUUAAAGCUCUUAUAGUAGGAAAUAAUUUGACCUUUAGAUUGUCAUCUUCUUUGUCUACCUAAUACAUGUGUUAUCUGGUUGAAGUUUGACCAGAAGGAGAAUGUGGAAAUGUUUGAAAGAAUAACAAGAUAACCAGGUACUGGAAGCAGAAACUGUAUACUCUAUAAAAGGACAAAUUUAACAUUUCAAGGGAAAUGUUAUAUUUAUGUCUGAAAGGAAUAGACCUUGACAAAAGUAAAGACAUAGGUAUUUAGAUAUUUCAAGAGAAUAACUUCUUCUAGAUUAGUUUGUUGACCUAUUGUCUGAACUAUAAAUUCUGUUUUUACCUGUAAAUCAGUAAUCCAUAUGUUCCUAAAAAGAAUUAUUUUCUCUAGGAAAGCAGAUAAUUGAGGUUUUUAGGUUUUUCUUUCUCUCUAACAUUUAUGAUUUAUUUUGUUUUUUUUUUUUUAAUUUUUUUUUUAAUGUUUAUUUUUGAGAGAGAGAGCGCAAGCAAGCAGGGAAGGGGCAGAAAGAGAGGGAGACACAGAAUCCAAAGCAGGCUCCAGGCUCUGAGCUGUCUGCACAGAGCCUGACGUGGGGCUCAAAACUCAUGAACUGUGAGAUCAUGACCUGAGCCGAAGUUGGACGCUUAACUGACUGAGCCACCCAGUCCCUCCCCUCCCUCCC